UUCAGCAUGGCAGUAUCUGCCACCACUUGUUUUGGUCCAAGGGCAGAAAUGAGCAUCCUGGAAACCAAUCAGUACUUGCGCUCUGAACUGGAAAAGUGCAAACAGAACUUCCAAGACCUCACAGAGAAAUUCCUGACAUCCAAAGCUACUGCCUACUGCCUGGCCAAUCACCUGCAGAAAUGUAGAUACAUGAUCCCUUAAUUCAGGCUCAGGCUGAAGAACUGACCCACUUACAACAGAAGAUACAGGAAGGGAGAGGUGUCUGCUACCUUUUCACCCAGCAUGUGAAGAACACAGUCAAGUCUUUUGAGGGCCUUCUCAGGAACACUGACAUUGCCUACUACCAGAGACAGAGAUUCUGUGAGCAAAUGGUACAAGGAAGCCAGCUGACAGAGAUCCUUGUCAGAAAACUUGCCACAGAAUCAACCCCAAUGCUCACUAACAAACUGAGAAG
This 454-nucleotide long non-coding RNA is filed under the name Homo sapiens (human). RNAcentral's name for it is "non-protein coding lnc-PPIAL4A-2:16". The record is from RNAcentral. Lineage: Eukaryota; Metazoa; Chordata; Mammalia; Primates; Hominidae.